GAGGGUAUAGCUCAGUGGUAGAGUACAUGCCUAGCAUGUACAAGGUCCUGGGUUCAAUCCCCAGUACCUCCA
This 72-nucleotide transfer RNA is filed under the name Camelus bactrianus (Bactrian camel). It matches the Rfam family "tRNA". From Rfam's summary of the family: Transfer RNA (tRNA) molecules are approximately 80 nucleotides in length. Their secondary structure includes four short double-helical elements and three loops (D, anti-codon, and T loops). Further hydrogen bonds mediate the characteristic L-shaped molecular structure. tRNAs have two regions of fundamental functional importance: the anti-codon, which is responsible for specific mRNA codon recognition, and the 3' end, to which the tRNAs corresponding amino acid is attached (by aminoacyl-tRNA synthetases). tRNAs cope with the degeneracy of the genetic code in two manners: having more than one tRNA (with a specific anti-codon) for a particular amino acid; and 'wobble' base-pairing, i.e. permitting non-standard base-pairing at the 3rd anti-codon position. The record is from Rfam by way of RNAcentral. RNAcentral also lists the same sequence under 2 other names. Lineage: Eukaryota; Metazoa; Chordata; Mammalia; Artiodactyla; Camelidae.